AGAAGAAGAUAAAGCUUUUGUUCUCGUAGUUUAUUUAUUAAUUGGAGAAAACUAAAAAAAAAUUGAUUUAAUAAUUUUUUUCCAUCAGUUUUGGUAAAACAGAGAGAGAAGAUGUAGGAAUCUCCGACGGACGACGAUUUAGAAAACGACAGAGUAGAUUUUCCGACGGACAACGAUUUUGAUGACGGAGGAUGAAGGAGAUGAGGGUAACAGCGCGAAAAAAGCGGGCUGAGAGGCGAAAAGAAAAGGCAAUUUUUUGUGGUUAUUGGGGUUCCUUUUGCGAUUUUGAUUCUGGGAUUGCUUUCGUGAAAUCGUUACUUUCCGAGUAGCUUCUAGUGGCUAAGGUUUCGAUUUGGGGUGGGAUAUAGGGUUUCAUGGAUUAUGGUAACGAUUUUUUUGUUUUGGGUUCUGAUUUUGCGGAUUAGAUUUUGAUUUGGGGUUGUGGGUUCUAUUUUGGGACUGAAGAAGCUGAUUUUUUAUUUGGUUUGUGUGUGUUACAGGGAAGGCGAAAGCAGAGGAGGGAGUCAUGAACAAGAGAUUACCGCGACGUUUGUUCGUGACAGAUCGAUAAGACGACGAGCUGAAUCUUCGAAGCUAUGUCUGUGAGAAGCUCCCACAACACAUAGAGUUGGUUUUGGCAGAGGUGAAAAAGGCUGAUCAUGAUCCUCAGCUGACUGUGCAAUCUAUAUGAAGUGUGGAGAGAACAAAGAGGAUGGAUGGGGGGAAAUUUGAUAGUGAGAUUUUCGAUUGUAAAGUUGCCAACAUGGUUGAGCUUCUGAAGGCUAGACACAAAUUCAUAAAACAUAAAUUGAGAAGUGAUGAUGCAUUUAAACCUAUGUACAUGUGCACAAGCAAGUGUGUACAUGUGUACAAGAGAAAAUGUGUACAUGGGAACAACACCGAGUACACAUCAUAUAAUUUUCAUACAUUUGCAAAUUUAAGUAUUUGUAAAGUUUGUAUUGUUAAUGUGUACACAUGUAUUUCAUUGUCCACAUGUACAAAUCAUACAUACUGAAUCAUAAUGUA
This is a long non-coding RNA of Raphanus sativus (radish), 1026 nucleotides long. RefSeq lists it as uncharacterized. The record is from RefSeq and is a predicted model, not a curated record. Lineage: Eukaryota; Viridiplantae; Streptophyta; Magnoliopsida; Brassicales; Brassicaceae. The transcript is spliced from 2 exons.